Pelobates cultripes (western spadefoot toad) is the source of this 252-nucleotide non-coding RNA. The record is from the annotation of a GenBank genome assembly. Lineage: Eukaryota; Metazoa; Chordata; Amphibia; Anura; Pelobatidae.
UUUUAUUUAUUUUGUUUUAAUGAAUCAGCUGCCAUCUAUAACAAAGAAAUUCCAGCAAAGUUUAGGCCCGUUGUUCUUGAGGGAUGUAGUACACAGGCUGCUUAAAUAGAUGUAACAGGAUGAAAUAAUAAGAUGUAGGGUCUGCUGAGUAAAGAGAUUCCAUCUUCAAAGGAUGCAUUCAAUACCUAUAUAGUAUGAUUAAACUCAUUGCUGGGAUUUUUCAGUUUCAGAGAGUGAGUACUCAGAUUUUUU